This 253-nucleotide ribosomal RNA is filed under the name uncultured bacterium. Its description in RNAcentral is "partial 16S ribosomal RNA". It matches the Rfam family "Bacterial small subunit ribosomal RNA", at positions 524 to 776 of the family's 1533-position model. The record is from RNAcentral.
UACGUAGGGCGCAAGCGUUGUCCGGAAUUAUUGGGCGUAAAGAGCUCGUAGGCGGCUUGUCACGUCGGAUGUGAAAGCCCGGGGCUUAACCACGGGUCUGCAUUCGAUACGGGCAGGCUAGAGUGUGGUAGGGGAGAUCGGAAUUCCUGGUGUAGCGGUGAAAUGCGCAGAUAUCAGGAGGAACACCGGUGGCGAAGGCGGAUCUCUGGGCCAUUACUGACGCUGAGGAGCGAAAGCGUGGGGAGCGAACAGG